RNA transcript from Xenia sp. Carnegie-2017, 1869 nucleotides. It is a transcript of the gene named ceramide kinase-like, with no coding region annotated. Lineage: Eukaryota; Metazoa; Cnidaria; Anthozoa; Malacalcyonacea; Xeniidae. The record is from RefSeq and is a predicted model, not a curated record. The transcript has 13 exons.
UACAUGCUUGGAAUUAAUUAAAAUGUAAAAACAUGGCAGACAUAAAUGAACAUGAACCACUUAAUUCGCGUGUCUUCAUUAACCGUAAGCAAUAUUUUGGCAAACUAGAGAACGAUGUUUUGAGUUGGUGUCGCUGUCGAACACAUGGAAUAAACUCUGAACAAAGUCACAGCUUAAAUAUAAAGCGAGUUAUCACAAUCAAGCCAUGUGAAUCAAUGUACGAAUCGCAACAGAAAGACAUAGAAAUGAAUAUCCUCAAUGAAGAAAAUAAAAUAACCUCUUUCUGUUUGCAUGUUGUUGCUAAGAAAGAUAAUCUGAAGUGGCAUCAUCGAAAAGCUGUGUUUACUUUCCCUUCUGCUGUAGAAGGAACUAAAUGGUUUAAGAGGAUUGAAGAUUUAUUGAAAGGGUACAACAGACCUAAAAAACUUUUAGUCUUUGUCAAUCCAUACGGAGGACGUCGACAGGCACCUAGAAUUUUCCAAAACAAAGUCAGACCAUUGUUCAACUUAGCUGAAAUAGAAUAUGAUUUCAUUGAAACAGAAAGAGCAAACCAUGCAAAAGAUCACAUUAUGAAUGAAGACACAGAUUUGAAUCAAUAUGACGGGAUCAUUUCCAUUGGUGGUGAUGGAAUGUUUAGUGAAAUUUUAAAUGGUAUUUUGAUGCGUCAUAAUCCGGCUGUGUUUCCUUCAAGUCAUUUUAUGCCAAAGAAAAGCCCCAUUAAGCUGGGGAUUAUACCAGCUGGAUCCACAGAUUGUGUCUGCUUCUGCACAACUGGAACAAUUGAUGUAAUCACAUCGACUUUACAAAUAAUUACAAAUGAAAGUCAACCAUUGGAUAUUUCAUCUCUACACAACACAAAAGGUGAAUUAUUACGUUACUCGAUGUCGUUUGCUGGGUAUGGUUUCUUUGGUGAUGUUGUAAAGGACAGCGAGAGCUUAAGAUGGGUUGGUGUAAAACGUUAUGACAUUUCUGGCGCGAAAAUGUUCAUGAGAAAUAGAUCUUAUGAAGGAGAGUUGUGUUAUUUGACGAGUUCGGAUACUGUCGGCAACCCCCGUGAUAACAUGAAAUGUAGGAAAGGAUGCACUGUUUGUUUUCCAUCCUCAAGUACUACACAUGGGGAUAUUUUAACAGCCCAGAGCAACGGUUGGCACAGCAUUACCGGCCAUUUUAUAAGCAUCAUGGGGGCUACAAACUGUUGUGCCAAUAAGAAAUCACCAGAAGGAAUUUCACCCAGCGCUCACCUGGCCGAUGGAUGUAUCGAUCUUAUUAUUGUACGUCGUACAUCACGUGUUCGUUACCUGCAACAUAUGAUGCGAUUGGCCGGAAAAGCUGAUCACAUGGACUUUGAUUUUGUCGAAGUACAUCGCGUAAAGGAAUUUUCGUUUCGUCCCCUACCAGUAAUGGCUGGUGACAAGGCUAUAGAGAGUGACAUCGCACAAUCCAACUCUAUGCAACACAGUGUGUGGAAUGUCGAUGGGGAGAUCAUUGAUGAACCAGCGAUUCACAUAAGAGUCCAUCGCAAGUUAGUUAAACUUUUUGCCAGUGGCAUAGAAUAUCGUGACACGAAAUGCAAGUGGUUUGGUUGCAAAUAAAUUUUAAAUCCGAUAUCCUACAAGACUACAAUAGUUAUUGGUGGGUGAGAAAGUUCCUUGCCAUUCAGAAAGAAACGAUUACCAAGAAAGUUGAUGAACAUAAUGCAAGAAAGAAAGAACAUAUCCAUUUUAAUAACUAGUAGGCAUUAAAAAGUAACAUUAAAAUGUCCAAUUAUGUCCAUGCUCAAUAUUUCAAGUGUUAUUGUUGUUGUUUUUGUGUCAAGUUUGGUUGGUACACUACUCUUUUUCAAUAAAGCUUGGUGUAUUUUGGUUAUCA